CAUACCUAUUGUUGCUUCGGCGGGAUUGCCCCGGGCGCCUCGUGUGCCCCGGAUCAGGCGCCCGCCUAGGAAACUUAACUCUUGUUUUAUUUUGGAAUCUUCUGAGUAGUUUUUACAAAUAAAUAAAAACUUUCAACAACGGAUCUCUUGGUUCUGGCAUCGAUGAAGAACGCAGCGAAAUGCGAUAAGUAAUGUGAAUUGCAGAAUUCAGUGAAUCAUCGAAUCUUUGAACGCACAUUGCGCCCGCCAGUAUUCUGGCGGGCAUGCCUGUCUGAGCGUCAUUUCAACCCUCAUGCCCCUAGGGCGUGGUGUUGGGGAUCGGCCAAAGCCCGCGAGGGACGGCCGGCCCCUAAAUCUAGUGGCGGACCCGUCGUGGCCUCCUCUGCGAAGUAGUGAUAUUCCGCAUCGGAGAGCGACGAGCCCCUGCCGUUAAACCCCCAACUUUCCAAGGUUGACCUCAGAUCAGGUAGGAAUACCCGCUGAACUUAAGCAUAUCAA
RNAcentral lists this ribosomal RNA (498 nucleotides) under Clonostachys pseudochroleuca. RNAcentral's name for it is "eukaryotic LSU rRNA". The stretch from base 128 to 281 matches the Rfam family "5.8S ribosomal RNA". The record is from RNAcentral. Lineage: Eukaryota; Fungi; Ascomycota; Sordariomycetes; Hypocreales; Bionectriaceae.